RNAcentral lists this ribosomal RNA (707 nucleotides) under uncultured bacterium. RNAcentral describes it as "bacterial LSU rRNA". It matches the Rfam family "Bacterial large subunit ribosomal RNA", at positions 129 to 891 of the family's 2925-position model. The record is from RNAcentral.
CAUAAUGAGCAUAAACAGGUACUUAUUACCUGAAUACAUAGGGUUUUAAGAGCAAACCCGGGGAACUGAAACAUCUAAGUACCCGGAGGAAAGGAAAUCAAUUAGAGACUCUGUUAGUAGCGGCGAGCGAACGCGGACCAGCCAAGCCUGAUAAGUGACCAGAAUGACCUGGAAAGGUCAGCCAUAGUGGGUGACAGCCCCGUAUGGGAAGCUUUGAAGGAUGUAUUAAGUAGGGCGGGACACGUGAAAUCCUGUUUGAAGAUCGGGGGACCACCCCCGAAGGCUAAGUACUCCUUACUGACCGAUAGCGAACCAGUACCGUGAGGGAAAGGUGAAAAGCACCCCGACGAGGGGAGUGAAACAGUACCUGAAACCGAACGCCUACAAUCAGUUGGAGCAUCCUUGCGAUGUGACAGCGUACCUUUUGUAUAAUGGGUCAUCGACUUGGUCUAUCUAGCAAGCUUAAGCCGUUAGGUGUAGGCGCAGCGAAAGCGAGUCUUAAUAGGGCGCAUGAGUUAGAUGGAUCAGACCCGAAACCGAGUGAUCUAGGCAUGGCCAGGUUGAAGAUACGGUAACACGUAUUGGAGGACCGAACCCACAUCCGUUGAAAAGGAUCGGGAUGAGCUGUGCCUAGGGGUGAAAGGCCAAUCAAACUCGGAGAUAGCUGGUUCUCCGCGAAAUCUAUUUAGGUAGAGCGUCAUCCGAAU